This 146-nucleotide unclassified non-coding RNA is filed under the name soil metagenome. RNAcentral describes it as "partial internal transcribed spacer 1". The record is from RNAcentral.
UCGAUAAGUAGUUUUAUGGCACUUUUAAAUCCAUAUCCACCUUGUGUGCCAAUGUCGGUCGAUCUCUUUUUUUGAGGAUCUGACCAACAUCAACCUUAUUUUUUAACUCUUUGGUCUGAAAAUAUUAUGAAUAAACAAUCCAAAUA